Molecule: ribosomal RNA, 253 nt
Filed under: uncultured bacterium
Lineage: Bacteria
Description: partial 16S ribosomal RNA
Rfam family: Bacterial small subunit ribosomal RNA
Source: RNAcentral
UACGGGGGGGGCAAGCGUUGUUCGGAAUUACUGGGCGUAAAGGGCUCGUAGGCGGCUAACUAAGUCAGACGUGAAAUCCCUCGGCUUAACCGGGGAACUGCGUCUGAUACUGGAUGGCUUGAGUUCGGGAGAGGGAUGCGGAAUUCCAGGUGUAGCGGUGAAAUGCGUAGAUAUCUGGAGGAACACCGGUGGCGAAGGCGGCAUCCUGGACCGACACUGACGCUGAGGAGCGAAAGCCAGGGGAGCAAACGGG